RNAcentral lists this ribosomal RNA (483 nucleotides) under uncultured bacterium. Its description in RNAcentral is "partial 16S ribosomal RNA". It matches the Rfam family "Bacterial small subunit ribosomal RNA", at positions 28 to 507 of the family's 1533-position model. The record is from RNAcentral.
GACGAACGCUGGCGGCGUGCUUAACACAUGCAAGUCGAACGCUGAAGCUCAGCUUUUGUUGGGUGGAUGAGUGGCGAACGGGUGAGUAACACGUGAGUAACCUGCCUCCUUCUUUGGGAUAACGCCCGGAAACGGGUGCUAAUACUGGAUAUUCACUGGUCUUCGCAUGGGGGCUGGUGGUAAUGGGUUUUUUGGCGGGGGAUGGGCUCGCGGCCUAUUAGCUUGUUGGUGGGGUGAUGGCCUACCAAGGCUUUGACGGGUAGCCGGCCUGAGAGGGUGACCGGUAACAUUGGGACUGAGAUACGGCCCAGACUCCUACGGGAGGCAGCAGUGGGGAAUAUUGCACAAUGGGCGAAAGACUGAUGCAGCGACGCCGCGUGAGGGAUGGAGGCCUUCGGGUUGUGAACCUCUUUCGCUCAUGGUCAAGCCGCAACAAUGGUUGUGGUGAGGGUAGUGGGUAAAGAAGCGCCGGCUAACUACGUG